GCUGUGCAUGGUGACACAUGCCUGUAGUCCCAGCUACUUGGGAGGCUGAGGCAGGAGGAUUGCUUGAGUCCAGGACUUCGAGGCUGCAGUGAGCUAUGAUUGCACCACUGCACUCCAGCCUGGGCAACAGGGCAAGACCCUGACUCAA
This 148-nucleotide non-coding RNA is filed under the name Theropithecus gelada (gelada). Lineage: Eukaryota; Metazoa; Chordata; Mammalia; Primates; Cercopithecidae. The record is from Rfam by way of RNAcentral.